UUGAACGCUAUGAUGUUUACACAUGCAAGUGUCGAACGGCAGCACGGACUUCGGUCUGGUGGCGAGUGGCGAACGGGGUGAGUAAUGUGUAUCGAACGUGCCUAGUAGCGGGGGGGAUAAUCCACGCGAAAGCGUAGCUAAUACCGCAUACGCCCUUCGGGGGAAAGCGGGGACCUUCGGGCCUCGCACUAUUAGAGCGGCCGAUAUCGGAUUAGCUAGUUGGUGGGGUAACGGCUCACCAAGGCGACGAUCCGUAGCUGGUUUGAGAGGACGACCAGCCACACUGGGACUGAGACACGGCCCAGACUCCUACGGGAGGCAGCAGUGUAAUGGAGCAUCGGGGGAAACCCUGAUCCAGCCAUCCCGCGUGUGCGAUGAAGGCCUCAAGUUGUAAAGCACUUUUGGCAGGAAAGAAACGGCAGGGAUAAUACCCCGUGCAACUGACGGUACCUGCAGAAUAAGCACCGGCUAACCACGCCAGCAGCCGUAAUACGUAGGGUGCAAGCGUUAAUCGGAAUUACUGGGCGUAAAGCGUGCGCAGGCGGUUCGGAAAGAAAGAUGAAAUCCCAGAGCUUAACUUUGGAACUGCAUUUUUAACUACCGAGCUUGUGAGUGUGUCGAGGGAGGUGGAAUUCCGCGUGUAGCAGUGAAAUGCGUAGAUAUGCGGAGGAACACCGAUGGCGAAGGCAGCCUCCUGGGAUAACACUGACGCUCAUGCACGAAAGCGGGGGAGCAAACAGGAUUAGAUAAUUCUGGUAGUCCACGCCCUAAACGAUGUCAACUAGCUGUUGGGGCCUUCGGGCCUGGUAGCGCAGCUAACGCGUGAAGUUGACCGCCCGGGGAGUACGGUCGCAAGAUUAAAACUCAAAGGAAUUGACGGGGACCCGCACAAGCGGUGGAUGAUGUGGAUUAAUUCCGAUGCAACGCGAAAAACCUUACCUACCCUUGACAUGUCUGGAAUCCCGAAGAGAUUUGGGAGUGCUCGCAAGAGAACCGGAACACAGGUGCUGCAUGGCUGUCGUCAGCUCGUGUCGUGAGAUGUUGGGUUAAGUCCCGCAACGAGCGCAACCCUUGUCAUUAGGGUUGCUGCUGAAAGGGCACUCUAAUGAGACUUGCUGGUGACAAACCGGAGGAAGGUGGGGAUGACGUCAAGUCCUCAUGGCCCUUAUGUAGGGCUUCACACGUCAUACAAUGGUCGGGACAGAGGGUCGCCAACCCGCGAGGGGGAGCCAAUCCCAGAAACCCGAUCGUAGUCCGGAUCGCAGUCUGCAACUCGACUGCGUGAAGUCGGAAUCGCUAGUAAUCGCGGAUCAGCAUGUCGCGGUGAAUACGUUCCCGGGUCUUGCGCCAUACCGCCCGUCACACCAUGGGAGUGGGUUUUACCAGGGUAGUUAGCUCAACUGUAAGGAGGGCGAUUACCACGGUAGGAUUCAUGACUGGGGUGAAGUCGUAACAAGGUAA
Molecule: ribosomal RNA, 1461 nt
Filed under: uncultured Bordetella sp.
Lineage: Bacteria; Pseudomonadati; Pseudomonadota; Betaproteobacteria; Burkholderiales; Alcaligenaceae
Description: partial 16S-23S ribosomal RNA intergenic spacer
Rfam family: Bacterial small subunit ribosomal RNA
Source: RNAcentral